This 211-nucleotide long non-coding RNA is filed under the name Mustela putorius furo (domestic ferret). RNAcentral describes it as "lncRNA (ENSMPUG00000027240.1)". The record is from RNAcentral. Lineage: Eukaryota; Metazoa; Chordata; Mammalia; Carnivora; Mustelidae.
GGCUGAGGCCUCCCAGAACCAUCUGCCUCCUGUCGUUGCCAGCCAGAGCCAAGGCGACAUUGACAAGAACUCAGGAGCCGAGGGAGCGCCGGAGUUGCACCUGCCCGGUGGGAACCAGAGAGCACAAUAUUCUCCUAGUGGUGUGGAAGAAAACCUACUAGACCUUGGAUUCUCGCUUAGAUUUCCAGAGUCUAACUCAUCCAGAUAAACU